GCCUCAGUGGCGGAACUGGCAGACGCGCCGGACUUCCACUCCGGUGGGCAUCAGCGGCAGCCGUAAACCUGCCGUGCUCGUGAGGGUUCGAAGCCCUCCUGAGGCACCA
RNAcentral lists this transfer RNA (109 nucleotides) under Gammaproteobacteria bacterium. RNAcentral's name for it is "tRNA-Gly". It matches the Rfam family "tRNA". Rfam says of the family: Transfer RNA (tRNA) molecules are approximately 80 nucleotides in length. Their secondary structure includes four short double-helical elements and three loops (D, anti-codon, and T loops). Lineage: Bacteria; Pseudomonadati; Pseudomonadota; Gammaproteobacteria. The record is from RNAcentral.